Dermacentor silvarum is the source of this 1260-nucleotide long non-coding RNA. RefSeq lists it as uncharacterized. Lineage: Eukaryota; Metazoa; Arthropoda; Arachnida; Ixodida; Ixodidae. The record is from RefSeq and is a predicted model, not a curated record. The transcript has 3 exons.
UUGUGGCGCGCCCACAGCGCGUAGCACUUCAGUGUUUGGCAUCGUUGAUCGUGACGGUAUCCUGAACUCGAUGCGCGUGUUUACUUGAAAUCUUCAACAAAUAUCGGAGGUGGUUUAGGGGGCCCUUUAAGAGAAAAAUAGAGUACUUAUUUCAAGCACCCUUUAUUUUUGAAAAGGGAUGAAUGUAGGAGAACGAAAACAGUAUAAAGUAUGGAAACCUGGCUGCCCAUCAUAAGUGUGGUAAUAUAGUGACUUUCGUUAAGUGCAAUGAUAACAGUGGCAUUGGCACACAAGGUUUGAGACAUGAAACCUGUGGUACCCUUGGCAUUCGUCAGCAUAGUAAAUAGGUUUGCCACACUGACAAAUGCCAAAGGCAUAAUAGGUUUCGUGCAUACAUUGGUCGUGUUCCACCUUAUGAGUAUUGCAUUUCUAAAACAAAGGUCUACAGCAGUGCUUUGAAUGGCAAAUAUAUUUCAUAAUUUUCAGAAUUCAUUAUUGCAGGAAUAACAGUGCAGAUCAGUCAAAAUAAUUUUACAGACUAUAUGUCCAUAGAUACACUCGCUUUUUCGAAUGGCAUGGCGCCGACAUGUGGUGGUGAGAUGAAUGUCUUUGUUUCAGAUUGAAAUAGUGGCUUCCAGGCCUGGGUUAGUCGCCUCCAACAUUGAGGAUUUUAGGCCAGAGUCUAUGUACAAGUGGGAAGUGAAUUAGACUAGGAAACAAAGAUCAAUUUUCAACUCAAGCUAAGAAACAUGCACGAGUUUUGUGGGAAAAGUGCGAACAAGAAUACCAUAAGGACACCAAUGGCGGCUGCAGCGCUGGACGCAGACACCGAAUUUUCUGUGACACAGGGCCCUUACGCUGCCACGUUAAGAAGGAGGACGCGCAAAAAGGUCGAUGGUGCGAACCCACACUUUGGCAUGUACAGAUUUAAUUGUGUUAUUCGACAUCGUAGAAGGGUAAUAGAAGUUUGUUUCACACUGCCGUGAGGGACAUGGCCGGACAUUCAAGGAGAACACUAAAUGUCCUUAAAGUUUUGGUAUAAUGAAACCUGGGCCAAGUGCUGCCUUUGUCAAGCUGUCUGCAAUCUCGCUAAGUGCUAGUCCACAAUGUUCAGGUAUGCACAAUAACAGAUUUUCUUUAACAUGAUGUGGAAUAAAAAGUGUUGCGAUGGGUGCAGUAGUGAAUUAUUUGGGAUUUAUAAUGACAUAAGAACUGACACUCUGCGAGCAUUAUUAUGGUGUGUGGCACAUUCUUGCAAAC